CUAGCAUGAAAAGAUUAAUCUAACAUAAUGACGGAAUUAAAUAAACAAAAGUGGAACGACGUCACCAAAAAUUGAUAGAAAGUGAAUAAUUCCAGCAGCGUGUGUCGUCUCUUGAUUUCUGUCUGCGUAUCUUCCGUUUAAUUUCAGUGCGUAAUUCUCCUUUUUAAUUCCAAGGCAGUCGUCCUCUGUAGAUGAGUAAAAUAUUUAUUCUUCCAGCCGCCACCUGUGUUUUAAUUCCACCUUCUGCUGUGGUUUUCUGUGCGUGUAUAUAAUGUUGAAUCUCAGAAAUAGUCCACCCCCCAAAGUCCAAUUCCCAGCCUCACGUGUAUAAGAAUUUAAUUCCUCCAAUCCCACUUUCUCUCGAGCUUCCUGUAUGUAUAUAUAUUACUCCAACCAGCCUCCUGUUUUACUCGAAAGAAAAAGGGACCUGCGUUCUGUCUUCUGCGUGUGUAUAUAUUUAUGUUUUUAGCCAACCGCAGCCGGCUUCUCUCCUCUCUUUCUUUUCGGCGUGGAUGUGUAUAUAAUAUUCUAUUUCAGCCCUCGAACCUGCUUUGGUUUUCUGUCCGUCAAUUUGUUGCCGACUUGAAUAAUCCCAAAAGGGAUUCUAAUUUUUCCUCCACGGCAGCCUCCUUUUCCUGUGCGUAUAAUGUGUUC
Molecule: long non-coding RNA, 654 nt
Filed under: Olea europaea (common olive)
Lineage: Eukaryota; Viridiplantae; Streptophyta; Magnoliopsida; Lamiales; Oleaceae
Description: long non-coding RNA (OEUR_LNC008904)
Source: RNAcentral